RNAcentral lists this ribosomal RNA (225 nucleotides) under uncultured Alkalibacter sp. RNAcentral's name for it is "partial 16S ribosomal RNA". It matches the Rfam family "Bacterial small subunit ribosomal RNA", at positions 568 to 792 of the family's 1533-position model. The record is from RNAcentral. Lineage: Bacteria; Bacillati; Bacillota; Clostridia; Eubacteriales; Eubacteriaceae.
UGCGCAGGCGGUUUUUUAAGACAGGCGUGAAAUCCCCGGGCUUAACCCCGGAAUUGCAUUUGAAACUGUAAUACUUGAGUACUGGAGAGGUAAGUGGAAUUCCUAGUGUAGCGGUGAAAUGCGUAGAUAUUAGGAGGAACACCAGUGGCGAAGGCGACUUACUGGACAGAUACUGACGCUGAGGCGCGAAAGCGUGGGGAGCAAACAGGAUUAGAUACCCUCGUA